GUUCAGUCUGCAUAUUGUGCCUUCUUGUUCCCUUCAGAAGGCAUUUCUUACAACAAUGACAUGACUGGUUUUCUUUCUGGAAGCAGUUUGAUGCAGAGCAUAGACCUGUUGCAACAGCUCCAUGCUGGGUGUACCAUCAUCCUUGCUGUCCUGCUGUUCCACUUGCAAAAACUCAUUCCUGUUAUGCUGGGGCACCUGGGAAGGUGGUGCAGUCACAGAGGAGAUGCAGCUGCUGCACAGGGCAGGAAUUGGUCACCCUUGCCCCCUAUCCUUUGUCACAGUGUUGAGCCAGGUGGAGAGAAGACAGGGAAUCCCCUGUAUCAUGUGUCCUGUCUCCCUGUCAGGCCUGUCCCAGGGAAGGCAGGAUGUGAUUCCAGUAGUCUCUCUCUCUCUCACUGUCUCUGAUACUCCUCAACCUCCUCACCUCCUCCCAUAGCUCUGUCACUAACUGAAGGAAUUCCUCUACCUAGGUGCAUCUAAACUGAUUGAACUGAACUCUUUCAUGGGUGAAAGCUGCAGGUGAGCUCUGGAGCACAGCUGGAAACAAACCAGAGCUUGCCUUGCCCAUCAGGGCAUAGUUAAGAAUAGCUUAUAGCUGCCGUGAUGUCAUGGGAGACAAGAAGGGCAGGAAGUCUUUCUUUCCCUGAGGAUGAAGAGGAUGCCUCAACUCAACCUUCUUGCUGUGAACUGUUGUGAGCAUGGCAUUAGACAUCACACGAAGAAACAUAUGAGGACAGUUCCAGAGCAUGAAGGCUGUCUCAGCUGCAUCCUUGCCAACCUCCUAGUGAGUUAGGGACAUCUCCUGAGGAAAGGAAGGGUGAGGUCAUUAGGCUUUGUGCAAAAGAGCCUCUGUGUUGGGAACAUCUGAGCUGCCAAGGCACCUGGAGUGGUAUCUCUAGUUUGACAGCAUGCAGGAUUUGUGUUUUCUUCUAAGAAGAAAAUUAACUCUAUCCCAGCCAAAACCAGGACAGUAAUGUUUCAUUCCUUCCUGACCCCAAACCUGGUGGUCAUAAAGAAGACAACACUCACAAGGAACUGUGCAAGGUCUUCAACUUUCCAUUUGAAAUCUGGAAAAGAAAUUCAAGGAGUCCUCCAUCAUGAUAAAGGAAAAAUAAAACCCCGAAACUAAAACCAAA
This is a long non-coding RNA of Pseudopipra pipra, 1136 nucleotides long. RefSeq lists it as uncharacterized. The record is from RefSeq and is a predicted model, not a curated record. NCBI's taxonomy places the organism in Eukaryota, Metazoa, Chordata, Aves, Passeriformes, Pipridae. The transcript has 3 exons.